Non-coding RNA from Peromyscus maniculatus bairdii (prairie deer mouse), 448 nucleotides. NCBI's taxonomy places the organism in Eukaryota, Metazoa, Chordata, Mammalia, Rodentia, Cricetidae. The record is from RefSeq and is a predicted model, not a curated record.
GGUGAUUCUUGCUUAUGGAUAAAGUAACCAACUCCUUGUCUGACCCAGGCCUCCUCUGUUUUAGAACUAGGAACCGGAACUGGAACCUUCCAGAGAUGGAGAACCAGAAAAGCUGAGAAAAAACAGAGCCGAUACAGCGCAAGGUAGACUCUGCAGUUUCUGUUUAGCAACCAACCCUUCCACUUGGGAAAGCCCAGUUUGUUGGUGACAUUUCCGAUCUGGUCACCGAGUCCCCUACCGGCUGCAGCGUGCUUUAAAAUGAUGCUUUGCCAAGAUGAUCAUCAUUUUGGAAACUGGGUGUGUUUAUGGGUAUUGAAACAAAGGUGUUGAACCAAGUAAUCCGCACAUGUCAUCUUGAAAUCAGCAGAGGAAACUGCUGCCUACAACAUGCGUACAGCAUAGGCAGAGCCAGCUUUUAGUGUUGUUGAGUUUUGCCAGGUUCUUUGGA